GCUUAGGCAGUCAGAUUGUGCACGGCUUGACCCAACAAAUUGGCCAUGGCCAUGGACAAGGACAAGGACAACAUGGCUACCCACCUCAGGGCUAUCCGCCUCAGGGUUAUCCACCGCAAGGCUACCCACCGCAAGGUUAUCCACCUCAGGGUGGCUAUGGUUACCCCCCUGCGGCACCUCCAGGUUACCCGCAAACCCAUGGUUCACAUGGUAGCUCACAAAGUGGUUCCCAUGGAGUUGGUGGAGUUGGUGCGUAUCUAUCCCCAAUUGACUAGUGAAUGAUUUUUAUGUGUACUUAUCAAGGUUGAUAAGUUAUGAUUCGAUCAUGGGCUACUGGCGCAUUGUAAGUCGUGUUUGGUUAGGAUCCAGUGUGAGCACAUGCAGGUAUGUGACUUGCAGCAUCACGAGUGUUUUUGGGGAUUUUACGGCUUCAGUGAUAUCGAAAAUUCUCAGUGGAGAAUGUAUUUGUUUCGGAGGCUGUGCGUGAUCUUUAAAUCCAUUUUGUUUCUGCAGGGGG
RNAcentral lists this long non-coding RNA (517 nucleotides) under Physcomitrium patens. RNAcentral's name for it is "long non-coding RNA (PPAT_LNC011042)". Lineage: Eukaryota; Viridiplantae; Streptophyta; Bryopsida; Funariales; Funariaceae. The record is from RNAcentral.